Sus scrofa (pig) is the source of this 5939-nucleotide non-coding RNA. The record is from RefSeq and is a predicted model, not a curated record. Lineage: Eukaryota; Metazoa; Chordata; Mammalia; Artiodactyla; Suidae.
GUUUGUUACCACUAAGCCACAACAGGAACUCCCAACAUGGAUUUUUAAAAAGUGAAUUCAGGAGUAGAGUUGCAAAGAAGACACACCUACAUGGAUGUGGUCAGGCAGCACUUUGAUGAUGAAGCAGUUUAGAACUUCUGUUCUUGGAAUUCGUAUUACGCACAGCCUUGUGGAAAUGAAGAGAUAGAGCUCUUAAGUCUAUCUGUUCCAUCUGCCUACCACGCAGACCCGCACUCUCCACUGCCCAAGGAAUGGUGAGUACUGUGGUCAAUACUAACAGCCCCAACCACAUUCUACAGCGUAAUAGCUCCUGUGAUUAUACUGAGAAGUUUGAUAGGAAUUAUUUUCCUGACCUCAUCCCCAAAUUUCUUCUUGCUCAAUAUUAUCUUGUUAUUUCUAUUUAUUUCUCCCCUAAAAUGCCCUCCCCAUUACUUCCCCUGUAAUUAUCAGCUCACUGAAGUAGGCCCUUUCAUUUUGGUUUCCUCUUCACUGCCUGGAGCGUUGUGGGCACUCAGCAUAUGCUGUUUCACUUUUGAUGUCAGCAUCUUCAAAUGGAGACAGGUGGCUUCACAAGCGAGGACAAUCUUUGCAUCAACCAGGAUUAAUCUAAUAAUUUGCUUCAAGCACAUUAUAAUUUUGUCUCUCCUCCAAGUACCUUGAUUUUUUAAAAGGUUAGUGCAGAUAAUCCAGGCUUAUUCAUUCCUCUCAAAUUUCAACAAUCUGACCCAGAGUACUUGGGAUUUUUUUUUUAGGGUUCCACUGUUUACAGAGAUAUUUAAUUUACAAAAUAAAUAAGGUCAUAAUAAUGUUUAGUCAACAUUAUUAAUCAUUAUCAGUUAUAGUGAUAAUAUUAAUAUUACUAUUUUCAGGUUUAUUUUAAUUAAAUAAUGCAGAUCCAUAACAAAUUAGCAUGUGAACUGGUGAAUUUACAAACUCUCACGCAGAUUAGGGUGAAUAAAAAAAUUAACUAAGCAGCCACUGCACCACUUACUGCUCUGUUUUCAGAGAUAGAGAAACACAAAGUAAACUGAGAAAACUACAGGUAAUAUAUCUAAAUUAUAACAACAUGACAGGCUUAAAUAAACUAGAUUCUAUUGCCUGAAGAGACUGUAUUUUCUGCAGUGCCUGUCAGAACAGUGAGCUCAGUGAAGGUGCUCAGUGGGUGUUCACCGAAAUGGAUUUACGUACCCACUGGAUAUCACGCAAAUCUGCUGUUGAAAGCAAAUCCAUGAUGAUGCUGGUAAUUCAGCAACCAAAUCUAAUGCAAGUAGAGUUUAUGUUGAACAGUGGUUCAUGUUUGCUGUUACCUGAAAGAAGUGAUGUACUCGGACCUGAGACAUUUUAAUGCCUUCUCUGCAGGAAGCGCCACUGACCUGGAAGUAAGAGAAAGAGAAAACAUAGAUGAGAUUCACUACGAGGCAGUGAGAACUGAGUCUGAGCCACACACGCAAUUAUUCACAAGGAGCAUGGCUUCACAUUUAGCCAACAUGGGAGAUUCCAGGUCAAGGAUGUGCUGUGGAGAAGGUUCCCGAACUUUGUAUCUUCACUGGCUCCAAAAGGCUGCCCUAUUUCAUCAAAAGAAACUUGUUUUUCCUAACAAAGCUGGCUUAAUUUUCUAGUGACAUGGCACAGUUAAAGUACUGUAACAAUGACAGAAGUGCACGUUUCCGCCUUCUUUCCUUUCUAUGAAGUCAGAGGAAGAAACAAUAUAAAAUGCAAACAUGCAAACGGGAAGAUUUCUUUGUCUUAAGCUAACGCCAGGAGGGCGCGGCAAGCUUUACAGCAGCUGCAACCGGGAGUAACUGUGCUGUCUUGUUCUUUUGCCAAAUCCAUUCCUGAAAUAAAAAUGAAAGAGGCCCUGAACCGUCUUAAUCUUUGGACAUGAUGCUGAACACACGGUGCAGAGAGCGCUGUGCUUGGGAAAAUCUCAACUUGUGGCCAGUUUUACCGUUUCAGGCAGCAGUGGCUUUGGGCAAAGUGCCAGUCUGCUCUGAGCCUCUUUCCUUUUCUGCAAAAUGAGAAUAAAAGUCACCGCCUUGCUUACCUCAUAAGGGCGUCUGAGGCUCAAAUUAAAUGCGAUAAUGUCACAGAGCUUUGCGAACUCUAAAGAACUAUAAAUACAUGGUAUUAUUAGAAGUGGCUGGAAGUAACUGAUGAGAUGGCUUAAUUUUAGUCAUUUCAAAUGCCUCAGGGGUGAGCGGAGCUGUGCGAGGGGGUUAGGUUUUGUGGCAGCUCUGCGGCACGGGGCGAGCAGGGCUGGCCAGGGGGAGAAGCUACUCGCUCCUCUCUCCCAGGAAGGGGGCCGGACUUGAGCUGCUUUCUAAAGAAGGCAAGAAAAACAGGAGUUGAGAGACGGCAACUACAGUGAGGAAGCAGGAUUUCGCUAACAGGAGAGAGAAAGACAGUGAGAAGGGCCAAAGGAGCGCCUGAAAAACCAGACGUGGUCAAAACCAUGGGGCCUAGAAGCGGAAAGAAAAUAGAGGAAGUCGAGACUGAUAAGGAUGGAGGAGGGACAGCUGCUCACAGCAGGCAAGUGGGCAAGAUUCCAGGCUUAGGACAGAGCCCAGGGUGUCAGCAGCCCCAGGGACCCAACCUGGAGAAUCAGCUGGAGGAGGGCUCGAUAUCCUAGACCAGGGGUGUGCAGACACACAGAGACUUACUUAUUUACGAGGGUUGACUGUGUGCCAGGUACUGGAAAAGGGACCCUCUUUUCAAACAAAAUCCUACACAGAAACCCACUAAAUGAAACAGAAAAAAACUGAAGGUGCUUUGGAGAACCCAGAGUCUCCCAGCUUCCCUCUGAGCCCUUUGCAGCUCCCUGGGCACCUGUGCAGGGACACAGACUUCUAGAGAGAUCGAGAUAAGCUCACUUAGCCUUGUUGCAUCUCUGGCCCCUAGCACAUGAGAAGUACUUGAUAUUUCGUGGAUGACUGAAUGAAUGUGAUAGAGGGUAAGUGGUGUGCAGGAGAGAAGUCAGAUAAAUGGGUUCGGUGGGUUCUGAAACUACCUUGUGAGACUGAUUUAUCCAUGCAUGGUGUAUACAUGAAAGUGUCUCAAGCUUUAGUUGUGAAAUGAGGCUGGCUAAGGGUGGGGGAACCCCUUAGUUGGGUUUGGAGGUGGGGGGUUAUCCAGCCACAGGAGCCUAAAUUGUAGUGGGUAGGAUAAGCCAAAACCAGAGGACACUUCUAUGGAAAUGUCUUGGUCAUUUCAUCAUGAAAACAUAACCAGUUCACUGCUCUGCUCCUUUACUAGUGGGGCAGAAACACAGAUAAAAAUAGCUAAUAUUUAUUGGGUGUUGACUACUUGCCAGGCACAGUAAUAACCCCUUAAUGCUGUGUAGUGGGCAGAAUAAUGGCCCACAAAGACGCUUAUGUCCCAGUCUGUAAAGGCUGUGACUAAGUUAUGUUAGAUAGCAAUGGAGGAAUUAUGCGGUAGAUGGAGUUAAGGUUACUAAUCAGCUGACUGUGAGAUGGUUUGAUUAUCCUGGAUUAUCUGCUGGGUCAGGGUGCAAGAGGCAGGAGUCAGUGUCAGAGAAGGAGAUGCAAUGGCAGGAGCAGAGGCUGGAACGAUGUGAUGUGAGAGCUCACCUAGCCAUUACUGAUUUUGAAGAUGCAUGGGGCCACGGUCCAAGGAACAUGGGUAGCCUCUAGAAGCAGCUAACACAUAGAAAAACACAUUCUCCUCUAGGUCUUCCUGGCCCUUCUGACACCUUGAUUUCAGCCCAGUGAAACCCAUUUCAGACUUCUGACCUCCAGAACCAUAAGAUAAAAACUUUUUUUUUUUUUUUUUUAAGCCACUAACCUAGGGGUAAACAGCAAUAGAAAACAAAUACAGAUUUUCUCACUCCCUCUUUACAACAGCCUCAUCCGAUGGGUACUUAAUAUAGCUGUUUUGCAAAUGAAUAGGCUAAGGCUUGGAGGGCUUGACUCAUUUGACCCAGAGGUGAGUGGAUGGCCUGAUUUUGGAGCCACUUGGAGAUGGUUUUGCUUCUUCCUUUCACAAAUGAGAAGACUAGGCACGGAAAUGUGUCCAAGUCACAUGUGAGUUGGUGACAAAGCUCACUGUACCCCCAUAAAAAUGGGGGUAGACCAGCCUUUCACAAAUACACAUGUGCCCAGAAAGUCACUGGGAGUCCCAUUAGGAUGCAGGCUCCAACCAGCAGGUCUGGGCUGGGAGCCAGGUUGCUACAUUUCCCAGCAGCCCCUGGGGGAGGCUGAUGCUAUUGGCCAGGGACUAGCAGAGCGGUCACUGCCCUUGUGCCUUGCGCUGGGGGUUCUGAGCAACCCAGAGCCAUCAGAGAGCUUUGGGCAUCGAGUGGAAUGAGGGGGCACUAGGGAGGGAGACACAGGAGCAGACGCCCCACAGUUCUGUGGUGAAUGAGGUUUAGGGUCUCGGAGGAAAAAGUCGGGGUUAAAGACAAGGAUCUCACUCACAGGGCUCCUCUUGAGAAUGACAUCACCCACAUGCGAAGAUUAUCGUUGUCAUUUGAAAAGUCAUUCGAAAUGUGCUGGCCUGGCUCUGGCAUCACGAUGGCCUUUACUCUUUUAUGGGACAACACCCACAGGUCAAGAACAUCUUCCUACCGCAGAGAGAAAAUAGCUCCAUGUGACUGUGUGGGGAAAAGCAACAUCCUCCAUUCCCUGACAUACAUUUCAUGUAAAGAAAAAAACCCCCUUUUUUUUUGGAGAAAAAGAGAAUAAACUGCUUAUGCUUUGAGAAACAUGUCUGAAGCUUGAUGGGAUCAAAAAGCUCAAGGUCCUGCCCUUUCCUCUCCUCAGCCCCAGCACUGCUCCCCCGGUGGACUGCACCCUCAGGACAGAAGGGUGCUUCAGUCUGUAACCGCAGACGUGGUUCUUUGGGUCUUUGUGUUUCAUUUUAAAAGAAAUACACGCACCCCCAUAUGUGUGGGACAUGCUGGGAGGGUCCCUGACCUUUUCCACUGUGACUGCAGAAUUUCCAUCUGUCUGUGGCUAGGGGAGCUGCCUGCAGGCUGGGAAUGUUCUCUUUUCAUUUUGAAACAACAGCCAGGCACGCGAGCAAGAAAUAGCAGCUAUCGUUUCAGACACAAGAACUCAGAGAGGAAGCAAAUGUUUGGCUGACUGUUUCCCGGGGGUAGAGAGUAAAAAAAUAUUCCUCUGCAUAUUUACAGCGGCUCCAAAAUGACAGGAAUUUUUUUUUUUUCAUUUACUCAUUCAACUCAGCACUGUUGACCUCCAAAGCUACCUCACCUACAGGUUGAAAAUGGAACUUUAAAGUGUUUCUAAAUUAAGUUUUCUACAAACGUUCUUAGCUUUAGGGUUUGCUUCUGAAGGUGGAAAAAAAUAUGUUGGUUAGUUGUUCGGAUCACCCCCCAAGCACUGCUCAGCCCUGUAAGUGCAGGGAGGUAGGGUGCUAGGAUCUUUGCCUUCGUCAGGGUCCGGAUGUUCAGAGCGUGGCCGGUCUGGACACCGAGCCCUUUAGCGGGGAGGACUCUGGCCACCCUGGGAACUUGACAUUUUGGUGGUUUUCGCUUAUCAGCAUGGGAGAAGACGGGUGGUAAGAACACACCGCUUGGCAGUCAGACAAACCUUGCUAGUGUGUUAUCUUGUCCAGGCCCCUAACAUUCUUGGGUGACUUCACUAUGGGCUUGUGUCCUUAUCUGCAAAAUACAAAAAAUAUACAAAAAAAUAACACCUCCUCUUGAGAUUAUUGGGAAGAUUAAAGGAGAUAAUAUGAGUGGCACAAAGUAAGACCCUAAAAAUGUUUGCUCCUCCAAGGGCCAGAAAUACAGACUUUCAGGAAUAAUGUCUGUUUGGCUGUAGAAAUGUAUUAUGUUACAUUAAUCUUCCUCAUGAUAUGUUCCUUGGCCUACCAAUAAUAUCAUUUUUUUUUUUUUCUUUUCAGGGCUGCACUUGCGGCAUAUGGAGGAAGUUCCCAAGCUAGGGGUCUAAUCAGAGCUA